UUAUUCAGUGUGUAAACAAGAAUGUCUGCACUUGAAUCACUCAACCUCUCAAUUUCAUACUUCCAUAUCUCAUCAUCUUCUCCAAACCCCAAUUUGCAUUCUUUCACAAAAUCAAAACUUUCAUUAAAACUUCCCACUUUAACCCCCAAAGUUUUCCUGAAAACCCCUUUCUCCCCAAUUUCAAGAAAAUCAAAUUCAUGCUCAUUAUCAACAAUCCAAAAAGUAGCAGAACAAGAACAUGAUGAAGAAGGUGAAACCCAGAAAGAAGAAAACAAAAGGAAGCUUUUCGUAGUUGGUCUUCCGUGGUCUUUCACUGUUUUUGAUGUCAAGAACUUCUUUGGUGAAUGUGGGACGGUUGCAGAUGUUGAGAUAAUAAAAAGGGAGGAUGGGAAGAGAGGAUUUGCAUUUGUUACAAUGUCUUCUGGUGAAGAAGCUUUGGCUGUAGUCAAUAGAUUCAAUUCUCAUGAACUUUCAGGUAGGAUUUUAAAGGUUGAAUAUGCUAAGAAAUUCAAGAAACCCACUCCUCGUUCUCCAACUUCACUACGUUGGAAUGAGACACGGCAUAAGUUGUUUGUGUCAAAUCUUGCAUGGAAAGUAAGGGCUACCAACCUUAAACAGUUCUUUGUGGGUUUCAAUCCUGUUUCUACCAGGGUUGUUUUUAGCCCUUCAGGAAGCUCUGCUGGAUACGGGUUCAUUUCAUUUGCCUCAAAAGAAGAAGCUGAUGCUGCAUUAUCGGCCUUGAAUGAGAAGGAAUUGUUUGGGAGGCCGAUUAGUUUAAAGUUUAGUGAAAAAUCUAGCGAUAAAUCAGAAGUUAAUGAGGAAAACGAAAACCAUUCAGAGGAACAUCAUGAUGCUGAAUCAUAGCUUUUCACACUAUGUUUAUGUAGUAGACUAGAAACUGGCAGCAGAAGAUUAACUAAUACGAUUGUCACUCAACAAAAGAAAGAAGGUAGAAUUUAAGGGUUUUUUUAUGAGAUGAGCAAGGAACUAGUAACUUUAACUGAAGCUUGUACUCGUAUCACUCAAUUAGUUAAAGAGUCCAGCUUGAACCACCUAGGAGAAUGCCUUCACUCAACUUAACCUUCGUAUGCCUUUGGGGAACUAAGGUACGUAUCUUCAGGAGCCAACUUAAAUUAUGGAUAGCUCGAUUUGUUAUCUUGAGUCAAACAAGCUAUUCGAGCUUAACAAGUCCAACGAGCCUAAAUAUGGCGUGUUGCAUGAUUUCAAGGAUACAGAAUUCUCUUCCGUUUCAGGAGUUCUCAUAACAUUCUUAAACGGCCGUCUGAAUUCAUAUAUGUAUAACU
This is an RNA transcript of Erigeron canadensis, 1304 nucleotides long. It is a transcript of the gene named 33 kDa ribonucleoprotein, chloroplastic-like, with no coding region annotated. NCBI's taxonomy places the organism in Eukaryota, Viridiplantae, Streptophyta, Magnoliopsida, Asterales, Asteraceae. The transcript has 5 exons. The record is from RefSeq and is a predicted model, not a curated record.